CCGGAGAGUAAGGGCUGCCCGGGCCGAGGACUGGAAGGGCCCAACAAUGGGUAGUGACUGCCGAAGGAUGUGGCCUUUUCGGGGUGGGGGGGACGAAAGUACCCUAAAAUGGAUUGUGGGAGUGGUUGUAAAGUGUAAAAUGUGCCCAAACUGUUGAGCAGUGGACUUUCUCACUCGCCAGCCAGGGGCCCCGCCCCGAGCCCCUCCCCAGCCUCAGGAGCGGGAAUCCACCUCAGUGGAGCUGUUGCCGGGGGCUGCUGUCCCACACAGUCCCCAAAACCCCGCUGCGCUGGCCCUGGCUCCCCUUCCCCAGUGUAGCACCCCUGGCAAUGGGGGUCCCUGGUUUGAUCCCCAGCACCACACACAGGCAAAAGCAGUGUAUCUGUUCUGCUCCCCACCUUAUAAGAAACGGUCCCUUUUUAUGCAUUUCCUUCUCCAGUUGCUGUUUUGAAUGGUUUAUAAUGCAGGUACCUUGUGAGCUGAGUAGUGAACAGCUGCGUCCCUUUGCCCCGAGUGACUGGUAUCAGCCUUGACACCUCAUUUGCUUCGUCUCAACACUCCUGAACCCACACCCCGUUCUUUUUCCUUUUUUCCUGAACUAUGUAUUUGACAGUUGUGGUCAUCAGGAUAGUUGGCCUCGGAAAACUUGAGCAGGGGUCUCCUAAGAACGGGCACCAGCCUGCAUUGGUGCAGUGUAACUCACAGUCAGGAACUUGGCGAGAGCCAAGACUCACUGCUACUGGACAGACAGCCCAUUUUCGGGUCUGCCCAUUUGUCAGGGACACCCUUCAUAGCCAGUUCCACCUAGGAUCACACUUUGCAUUUCUUUGUCUUGACAGCUUUUUCUUUCCUUCCGUGACAUUGACAGAUUUAAAGAUCCCAGACCAGUAGUUGCCAACCUUCCCUGUGGUUUUGUUGGAUGAUACUCCAGUGACUAGAGUGAUGACAGACAUUUUCUUAAACAUCCUUGUCUUUUAAAAGACAAAACAUAAAACUCUUCCAUGACAUUGUGUACCUCGCCUUUUCUCCUGAACACUGCCACUUUAAGACCCUGCACUGUCAGCCCACAAAGCUUCCUCAUUCCUUUAUAUGGCUGCAUAGUAUUCCAUUGAAUGGGAUUAAUGUAAUUUAUUUAAACAGUCAUCUAGGGGAGGGCAUUUAGGUGGUUUCCAGUCUUUUGGGAUUUCAAACAAUGCUGCGGAAAUUACCUUGUAAAUGCAGCAUUUUCCUAUGAUAAUAUAUCUGUAGCAUAAAUCUCUAGAUACUGAAUUGCAGCCUUCAAACUUUAUGUGUUUGAUUUGGGUGUGAUUUCCAUGUAGUGAGAUGCAUAAGGUCUCAAGUGUUCAGUUUGGUUCACAGGGUGUUUCCCUUCUGUCACCCCAGAAAAUCCCCUCAAGCCCCUUCCCUGUCAAGCCCUCCACCCUGGGAGCUCCACAAACCAGGUUGUUCUAGAGCAUUGUGUAGAUGGCAUCAAACACCAUGGGUUUGCCUUUUGUGCGGAGGUGAAGUGAACUGUGUGUGUGUGUGUGUGUGUGUGUGUGUGUGUGUUGUGUGUGAUACUGGGGAUGGAACCCAGGGGUGCUCUCCCACUCACUUGGCUACAUCUCCAGCCCUUUUGUUUCUGGAGACAGGAUCUCCGUCUGUAGCUCAGGCUGCCCUCGAACACUCGGUCCUCUUGCCUCAGCCUCCUGAGUGCUGGGCUGACAGGUGUGUCUCACAACGCCCAGCAAAAUGAACCAUUUUAAAGUGAACAACUCUGGUCAGUAUGUUCACUGUGUGGUACAACUAUCGCCUGGGUAGGUCCAGAACAUUCCACCACCCCAGAGAAAGCCCAUGUCCAUUAAGCAGUUGCUUCCCAUUCCCUCGGUCUGGGCGUUUUAUAUCUGGCUUCUUUCACACAGCUAUUUUUUAGUAUUUAUUAUUUUGAAGUGCGUGGGAUUGAACCCAGGGCUUUCUCACUGAGCUGCAUUCCCAGCCCUUUUUAAUUUUCAUUUUGAGACAGGGACUCGCUGAAUAACCCAGGUUGGGCUCAGACGUGCGCUCCUCCUGCCUCAGCGUGUUUGUUAGUCUAGGCCAGUGGUGGCGAACCUGGGGCACACGUGCCGCAGUGGGCUGUUUGUUACCACUGAAAGCUCGAGAAAGGUUCGCCAUCACUGGUCUAGGCUAAGCCACCGUAACGGGGACCCAGAAGGACCAGGCCGAGCUCUCCCGCCACUGUCCAGAGGUCAAGCAGGGUGAGAGCGUGUCAGGGUGGUCACCGUCCCAGCCUGGCCCGUGCAGGGUGUGUAUUCUCUCACAGCUUCAUUUUGAUUUUACAGAGGUUGAAAGAAUAGGAAUAGUGCGAUGAUCACCUGCAUACCCUUUCUCUGGGUCCCCUGCUUCAUCGGUUCACCCUGUUGGUUUUAUGCUUUGUGUGCAUGCCUGCCUUCUCUCUGUGCCCAUGCACAUCACUGCAUAUGUCACGGCCACUUACUCAGCGUCCUUGAGCGUGUGUCACCUUAGAACAUGCUCUUCCUGUACCACAGGAAGUCGCCGACUUGAGCAAGCCUAACCUGAAUACAGUCCUGUCCGGUCUGCCACGGGGUAGACACAGUCACAUCAGCACACCUCACUGAAAGCGCUCCUGCUUCUGUUACUGGCUGCAGUUAAGGAAGCAACCAGAAAUACAGCCCCUGCAUGGCUCGUGCUUUGACUUGUCAGGCACAGUGGCUCCUGGGUUGGCGGAGGCCCCUGCAAAGGCCAUCGGAGGGACAGCUGGAGAAAUCGGGGCACGUACUGUAGCUGAUCCUUGCUUCUGGAGUCCACAUUAAAUGUCCUGUGCCAAUUUCAGGCCACGUCUUUGUCCCUAAGAACUCCAUCCUGAAGUAUCCCGUGAUCCACCUGCACUUCCUGCCGGCGUGGGAGGUGGGACACAGUGAGGACGCGGGGUGGGGACCCGGGACCGGUGCAUGGUCCUGUGAGUGAGGCCGUGCCCCACCGACAAGCCUUGGGUCUCAUCCUGUGGGAAGCCUCUGAGACGCAGCUGUGGGAUCCAGAGGUGUUUGCCUGAACCUAGGGUGGGGAAGGAUCCUGGUCCCCGGCAUGUGACAGGCACGGGGCACAGGAACUGGCCUGAGUGCUUCUCAGCCGCCCACUGGAGGGGAGGCUGAGCAGAUGGGAGUGGGCAGCGAGGGCAUCGGGGACAGAAGUUAAUGGGAAAUAAAGGGGUGAUGGGGAGGGGGCAGCCGACCAGGCACAGGAUGUGGGGCAUGGGUUAAGCUGGGGCUGUGUAGAGUGGGGGCCCCCUGUGCCAACCUGCAGAGCGUGCCGGGCGCCCACCAGCCCGCAGGUGGAGAGCCCUGCUGCGCUAGCGUGGGACCGUGAAGACUGGGAAAGAGGGUCUGGUCAGAGCCCCCUGAAGCCCCAACCUGCCCACAGGAUGGAUGGCAAGCGGCAGCAGGGCCCAGGGGCGGGGGGUGCCCCCAAAGCGGGCUCGAGGGGGGCCUCUGGGACGAGGAGCCUCCGCCGUCCCACUUCGAGGAGGACCUGGCGCUGCUGGAGGAGAUAGAAGCUGAGCACAGGUUGCGGGAGCAGGAGGAGGAGGCGCUGCAGCUGGCCGUGGAGCGGGCCACCGACGGGCAGCUCUCCACAGCCACUGACCCCGCUGGUUUCGGCCUCCCCCACCCCCGCUGGACCCUCAGACGGAGCCCCUCAUCUUCCAGCAGCUGGAGAUCGACCACUAUGUGGGUGAGUCGGGUGAGGCAGUGACCAGGGCUGUGAGAGAGAGGCACAGGGCGGGGGUGCCCGAGCAGGAGUGGGGGCGGCUCAUCUCCAUCUCCCCGUGCUGCAUACUCCACACAGCACCACGGAGGGGCCAGCAAGUCCAUCUGUAUGGACGCCUUGACAAAGAGCUGUGGUGACAGGACUGGGGAGCGCUGGUACACACGGGGCAGGAGGCUGUCCUGAGCCCCGGUGCUGUGGCAGUUGCCACAAUCAAUCUGUUAAUGUUCAUGACGUUAGACGUAUGUGCGCUGAUCAGUAGUCGUUUUACUUCUGGCAAAAAUGUCUUAUGCAGUAAUAAUAAGGAGGGAGCCAGGAGUGAUGGCUCACAGCUGUAAACCCCAGCACUCUGGGAGGCUGAGGCAGGAGGGUCUUAAAAGGGCUAGGGCUGCAGCUCAGUGGGAAGCCCUGGAUCCAGUCCCCAGUAGCACAAAGGAAGAAAAGUGGAGGGGCCCGUCCUGCUGAAGGCGGAGAAUGGCACCAGGGAAGCGAGUGAAUAAUGAGGUGGUGCAGGGACCGCCCAG
Molecule: long non-coding RNA, 4283 nt
Filed under: Heterocephalus glaber (naked mole-rat)
Lineage: Eukaryota; Metazoa; Chordata; Mammalia; Rodentia; Bathyergidae
Description: lncRNA (ENSHGLG00000050449.1)
Source: RNAcentral